GCAACAAAACGCGGUCCACACUCGUCGUUCAGCUUCCAAGGCCGCACUUCUCGUCGCAUUUUCUUCACCCAUAAACAGGCCGUGCUCGGAUAAGCAGACGGAUAAAAUCAGAGCAGCCUGGGGCCGUUUUCUUCUAGUUUCAGGAUAUUCGGAAGCGGCGUGGAUCGCCAUCUUUGAAAAUUCGCCUUCCGCACCGGGUCGCGGGUGCCAACGCGCAUGCGUGGCGGCCCGACACGCAACCUCUCCUCCAUUAUUCUCCUCUCCCCUUGCUUGUCGUCCUCCUCUCGUCUAUCUGCCAUUGGUCAAAAAAGCGCGGGAGGAAUAAGCGUCGCCCGCUCAUUGGUGCGUGCUAUCAACUGGGGGUCCCCGUCGCUGGUUCCGUGGAGGAAAAACACCCCAGCCCGAACUGCUCGAGUUCAGUACCGCUUGGGACACGAAGAACGUAGGCCGCCACUUCGGUGAGCCGCGCAACGCCGGACGAAUGCAAGCUACUAGUCCAAGUCCAGAAUAGCUGACGUCGCGGCGGCACAAGAUCGGGGCUCAAGAUGGGGUCCCAGCAGUUCUGCCUCAAGUGGAACAACCACCAGUCGAACAUGCUGGUUGUGUUCGAGCAGCUCCUAUCCAACGAAGCGCUGGUGGACGUGACGCUAGCCUGCGAAGGUCACUCCCUGAAGGCGCACAAAAUGGUCCUGUCUGCGUGCAGCCCGUUCUUCCAAGCGCUGUUCGUCGAGAACCCCUGCAAACAUCCCAUCGUGAUUCUCAAAGACAUGCGCUACAUGGACCUCAAGGCCAUCGUAGAGUUCAUGUACAAGGGCGAAGUGAAUGUGUCGCAAGACCAGCUGUCGGCGCUGCUCAAGACUGCCGAAACGCUGAAAGUAAAAGGCUUGGCUGAGGUGACGGGCGACAACAGGCACGGCCUGGUGAGUGUGGAUGGUGCAGACGCGAGGACUAUCAGCACUGCGCGGCCCGAGUCGCCGCCCAUGUCGAAGCGGAAAAGAGGCCGGCCGCGGAGACGCUCGCCGAGCGACUCGAACAAGUCCGACUCCGAGGACCAGGGAGCUCCGCCGGCGACGCGCAUCAAGGCGCCCGAGUCUCCGGAGAUCAUCGAGGACGGCAGCAUGUCGAGCGACCGCGUGACUGCGGCAGCGGUGGCCGCGGAGUCUCCGGCGGCGAGGACUUCGUCGGCGGCUGUGUUGACGGCAGUGUCUUCGUCGGCGUCGACGGUGGCGCUCAGUAACAAAGUGGUGGGGGGUCUGCCGGCGUCGGCGUUGACGGCCAACUCGAUGUCGUCGCAGCAUACUCAGGACUCGGUGGGGGACGACACGGGGGUGGACGGGGACGAUGCGGACUUUGAGGUGGAGCCGUCGAACCUCAUGGAACAGUCGAUGACGACCGAAAACGUGCCAGUGUUCGCGGACGUCGCAUCAUCAUCACAAGCGGCGGCGCUAGCGUCGGAGUCGCAACAGUCACAUCACACAGGGUCAACGUCCGACAACUCUGCGCUAGUUCCUGUUCCUGCCUCAUUGCCUUCAGACAUCUCAAUCUCCAGUCAACUCGACAUCAAGCCCUCCCCGUCUAGUUUAAUACCGCCGUUCGACGAGCAAGCCAUCUCCCCCGUGGUUCCCCCGCAGCCGGCGGGCUCCGCGGAUGGUUCGUCGAGCGCCAUGAUGAUGGCGUUCACGGACAUGUCGGGCGUGCCGGCCAUCGCUGGACCUUCCAACUACCACCCGGACAAGCAGCAGUCUACGCCUUCCCACGAGUUCUCCAUGUACGCAGAAGAGGCAGAAGAAGUAGAUACGGACCGCAGCGAUUCCGACGAGGAGGUGGCAGACGAGGAAGAGGCGGAAGACUCCGGCGGCGGCCACCUGCUCUACGGCCACCUGACGGGCAUCCAGUCUCUCCCGUCAUUGCCAUCCCUCCAGCGCACGCCCGGCGCGGUGUCGCUCCACACGAUGACGGGCCAGGAGACGGCAGUGGAACUGAUGGAGGACCAGAUGAAGUCGAACAUGAAGCGCAUUGUGUGCCCCAUCUGCCAGCAUAGCUUUGCCAACAAAGCCAACUUCAAGCGGCACCAGCUUCUACACUGGCCCGUGCGGCGCAAGUUCCCCUGCUUCCUGUGCCCCAAGCAGUUCAACUGGCCGGACGACGUCAAGCGCCACAUCCGCAGUGUCCACCACCUCAACGUCGACCCCAGGACGCGCAAGAACCAGUUCCCGGGCAGCAAUGGGGCCAGCGGGGGAAUCGUGUGAGAAAGGGGGACCUCGGAGGACUGCUAUUCGACUUUGGAAACUCGGGUCCUUGUGGAUUUGAAGUGACCUCGAAGGACUUCUGGUCGACUUUGGAGACUCGUGCCCUCAUAUCCUUGAGGUGACCUUUUAGGACUUCUGGCCUACAUCUGUUUAGAACCAAUCUAAAAGAGUGAUGUUCUUUUUUUUUUUUUUUGCCUGUUGUGGGGUGUCCCCUGGCCUGGGGUGACCUGGAACUGUGACACUUGACCUUGAAGUGACCUUGACAGACAGCCUUGUGACUUCGUCUGCCAGUAGCACCUUCUGCUGCACUUGGUGUUGUUGUUGGUGUUGUCACAGUUGCCGAGCCCGCUCGCAGGAAGGGUUGCCUUUACCCCGGCGCAAACGAGGCUCAAGAGGAACCGGCCGUCUGCUGAUACGCAUCGUCGAGAGUCUCUCGCGAAGCCGCGUCUUCAUUGCCGGGACGUUGUUGUUGUCGUGUCGCACCUCUCGUGCUUCUGUGUUGGCCCUAGUGUUGUUUCAUGCACCUCAAGACUUCAAGACGGGUUUUCUUUUUGUUUCAAUAUUUUUUUUCACAGAUUCUUCACCGUUGUCUUGGUUGCCCCAUGUUUGUGAUUGUUCUCUGGAGUGACACAACGGUUUUGAGUGUGCCUGACUUCUUUUAGAGAAAUACGGGAAGCGAUGCCGGGAAAGCCCACGUCGAACGCUUUUAACACGAGGGUCUACUUUGGUGUCUGUAUUUUUACCGCAUUUUUAUUUUGGGACUUAGCGCCGGCUGUCGCUGCUUUCAAGCUUUGAGCUGUUACGACGGUUUUUAUUUGGGUGUUGCCAAAUACGAGGGUUAAGAGUCCCGAAGUUGAGUUUCUAAGAUGUAUACUUUUUUUACCGUCUUCCAAGAAGACGUCUCUACAUUCCAGUGGCAAGUCUGCUCGAGAGUGGUGUACGACGUCAGUCAGAAAUGUCGGUUGCCGCUCGUAAGGUUGCCAUAUAUAUGUUUUAAGUAAUAAGAGAUAAAAAGAAUAUGACGUGAUAGCUUAUUGAAAUGCACCGUGCGACGUGAAUGACAUGCAUUGUGAGCGACGCCCAACGGGAACAAUGUGUGCUGCAUUCGUGACGGCCAUAGUUUCUUACGCGUAGCAAGUUACUCGUUAGAAGCGCAUCCCCUUCCGACGUUGACCUCGAUUUGCUAAUCGAGAUCACCACCCCCUUCAGUCGGUCCCCAUUCAAAAGCUGUGAAAGUCACUCUCGGGGUGGGCUGUCACGUGUGAUACUGACGGCCUCUCUCUCGCUUUUUCGGGUGUGGCAUUUUUUCUUCACUCAAAUGUGUUUUACUUCUCUCCCGUCACGCACCUAUGUCCUCCUCACGAAUUUGUCGCUUCUCUUUUUCUACCUGGAUAACCGGUUUUUUAUGCCGCUCCGUUCCAGCGCCACUAAAACUGCACGCUGUCAUUUGGUGUUUCUGCUGCGCGUCCACCCUGUGUCGAGUUUUUAUCGAGGCGACUCCUCCUGGAGUAUAUUUUGUUUUAGAGCAAUAAAAGGAUAUUUAGACUUUUGCAAA
RNAcentral lists this unclassified non-coding RNA (3804 nucleotides) under Ixodes scapularis (black-legged tick). RNAcentral's name for it is "protein tramtrack, beta isoform, transcript variant X31". Lineage: Eukaryota; Metazoa; Arthropoda; Arachnida; Ixodida; Ixodidae. The record is from RNAcentral.